This 465-nucleotide ribosomal RNA is filed under the name Vreelandella stevensii. RNAcentral describes it as "partial 16S ribosomal RNA". It matches the Rfam family "Bacterial small subunit ribosomal RNA", at positions 338 to 795 of the family's 1533-position model. The record is from RNAcentral. Lineage: Bacteria; Pseudomonadati; Pseudomonadota; Gammaproteobacteria; Oceanospirillales; Halomonadaceae.
CCUACGGGGCGCAGCAGUGGGGAAUAUUGGACAAUGGGCGAAAGCCUGAUCCAGCCAUGCCGCGUGUGUGAAGAAGGCCUUCGGGUUGUAAAGCACUUUCAGUGGGGAAGAAAGCCUUGGGGCUAAUACCCUCGAGGAAGGACAUCACCCACAGAAGAAGCACCGGCUAACUCCGUGCCAGCAGCCGCGGUAAUACGGAGGGUGCGAGCGUUAAUCGGAAUUACUGGGCGUAAAGCGCGCGUAGGCGGUCUGAUAAGCCGGUUGUGAAAGCCCCGGGCUCAACCUGGGAACGGCAUCCGGAACUGUCAGGCUAGAGUGCAGGAGAGGAAGGUAGAAUUCCCGGUGUAGCGGUGAAAUGCGUAGAGAUCGGGAGGAAUACCAGUGGCGAAGGCGGCCUUCUGGACUGACACUGACGCUGAGGUGCGAAAGCGUGGGUAGCAAACAGGAUUACAUACCCCUGUAGUC